Molecule: long non-coding RNA, 99 nt
Filed under: Notechis scutatus (mainland tiger snake)
Lineage: Eukaryota; Metazoa; Chordata; Lepidosauria; Squamata; Elapidae
Description: ZEB2 antisense RNA 1 conserved region 3 (ENSNSUG00000010184.1)
Rfam family: ZEB2 antisense RNA 1 conserved region 3
Source: RNAcentral
CUGCCUCCUUCCCUCCCUCCCUCCCCAGCCAUCAAGCCUUUGGCAUCGUUAUCCUCCCUACUAAAUCCUACUGGAUGCAAGGCGGAAAGCGGCGAAGCC